UGACCCCUGGCACGACGAAAGAAAACAACAGGUGCGAUAUUAAACAAUGAAACGCCAAUCACUCGCGUGGACAAACAACAGGAACGGUUAGUGCGGACACUUUACUAAUUGGAAAGACUAACGCUGGGAGGCUCCGAAUACAGGUGACCAACUCAGGCGAGGUGUCGUCAAAUGUUUUCCACGAGACUGAGAUGCACUUGUUCUGAGGGAGGAAGGGAAGUGUAGCGUGACCCUGACUGCAAGCAGCAAGAGACAGGAAAUAUGUCUCCAGCACUUUCCUGUAGCCAAACAGAAGUCCAAGUGAGCUAGACCCACUUCAACAACAUCUCAAACAGUGUUGGCCCGCCUAUAGAAAUAUACAGUUCAACAGUCGGGGAACAUAUAUAGUGCAGUAUUUCAUGGACGGAAUGGAUUUACCUCUGUUGAUUUCAAGGAAAUGAGGGGAGCAUCCUGCAAUAGUUACACAAGAUGACAUCUGUUGGAUCAAGAGGGUCAGAGGUCACACCGACAGCCCAUCUGUCUCCAUCGGCCCCUGUGACCUCAUCCCAGGUGCCAGCACAAAGCGAUGGACUAACAAAUGUCAGUCCCACUUCCUUUACGGAUGUCGCGUCGACCCAGGCUCAAUUUGCAGACCAGAAUGCAUCAAAGUUACAGUCUCCAUACAUCAGUAUUAGAGCAACAUCAUCAACCUCACAGGAUGAGAGUCUGUACAUAUCGAGGACAGGUUUGGAUAGCAAUGCUGUUCCUCCCUUAGCAGAUGUGAUUCCAACUGCCCAAAGCAUGCCACCAUCUUGGAUUCCUUCUUCUCCUCUGAACCCAAGCACAGCAUACUCAUCAGGGUUUUCAAGAAGUGUAUCCAUUACUCCCAGCCUCCCUUUCACAGCAACUCAGUCACAGACAGAUGUCACCAUUCCAUCGUAUUCCGAACAGUCUGCGACCUCCAUCAUGGCAUCAACAUCAGCGGAUGUCAUCGAUUCAAACAGCAACACCAUCCAAACGUCCAAGUCCACCCCUCUACAAGUGCCUUCCGCACCAAAAACAUAUACUAAUGUGCCUUCAGAUAAUGCUGUGAAAACCCAGCCAACGAAAGUUUUGAAAACAACAACAUGGUCACACAUGGCAACAGCAUCACCUGUGAUGGCCACCAGUUCCAUUGGUGCUGGGAUUUUCACAGGGGAGACAACUCCUGGACAUACUGGCGAAAACAAAACUGGAGCUAGGGAACCACCCCCAGGGAUGCCGAGGGAAACCAUUCUCAUCAUCCUCGUACCUGUCUGUGUAGUGGUCCUGCUUAUCUUGGCUAUCGUCUUGGUUACCUGCAUCCGACGCAGGAAGAGUGCGAAAAAGCAAACUGCAGCCCAGAAUCCAGACCUCUGGGUGAACACACGGGCGGAGAUAUCCUUGGUACCCCAGACACCCUCCGCCAUAGAGACGCCCACGGAGAUUGUCCCUGGAUUUAAGCCUGGAGACCGAGUGUAUCGGGUUAUAUAUGGCUUCACUGCGCAACUGGAAGGUCAGAUGACCAUCGCGGAGAAGGAGCUGGUGAAGGUCACUGAGAUGGCUGACAACGGAUGGUGGCGGGGUGUGUCACAGAGUGGGGAGAGAUCGGGCUGGUUCCCUGGGUGCUAUGUGGAGGAGACUAAGAAAGCUGGAGAUGGAGAAGAAGGGCCACAGACCAAGAGGUCCCGAGUCAGCUCCUUCAUGCUGAAGAAGCGGGAACGCAACCGGAAGAAGUCCGCAACAGCUGUGUCCCCCUAUUGCCAGUCCCCUGAUUAUCCCGUGCCCCCUCUGUAUGCUAGCACCUCAGCUCUGCCCAGCCUCAACUCAGCUGAUAUUAGAUGGUUUAAUGAUGGGAGGCUGUACCGAGCACUGUUUGCCUACCAGGGGUCCUCCAAGGGAGAGCUCUCCAUACAGGAAGGGGACAUCCUGCGAGCAUGGGAGAAGGACCGCAAUGGGUGGAUGCAUGGAAGGAAGGAAGCUGACAGGGAGGAAGGGUGGUUCCCAGCCGUCUAUGUUGACGAGAUUCCGUCUGACACGGCCUCCAUAUCAGGGGAGAGCACUCAUUCCUGUCCCAUCACCUAUGAUCAGCUGGCGCCUAACAAAACCAGGGCAUCGGAUCAGGAGUGGCUUGGAAUAGAACAUCGUGCCCUUCAUCCCUACCCCGGCUACUCUGAGACAGAUCUGACCUUCGACAUUGGCGACAUCGUCAUCAUCUAUGAGACGCUGGACAAUGGCUGGUGGUUGGGAAGUCGCGGGGAGGAGGUUGGAUGGCUGCCUGGGUCCUACCUCGAGAUAUUGGACACCAGCAGAGAUGACGACAGUAAAUCAGACGUGUCUAGCGUCCUUAGCUCAGCAGAAGACCGGAGUAGAAUGAUGGAGGAGGACAUAUCUGACAUCACCAGCAACAACAGCAUCAACUCCACCUUCAACUCAACCUUCGGUGAUCCGAAACCGAAGCCCGCUCGGAGAGCUCCACCCCCACCAAAACCAAAACCACUUAAACCGCUCAAAAUACCUGAUCGCCAACACAACCUCCAGACAACCUCCAGCUUCAAGAGUGAACUCCACAAUGUCCUGCUGAAUACUCAAGGAAAGGAUCAAGCCAAUCACAACAAUAAGAGACUCAGUCCAGGCUUGAUGGAAACACCUUCUAACCCCAGGCCUAAAAGACCAGCACCCGCUCCUCCUAAGCGUAAUAACAGUCAAAAGUCUCCUGUCACAAGUCAGCCAGGUUCUCCUAUGCAGGAACUGGUACCCACAACUGUUGCCACAUCCUCAGCAGCUCCUUCAGAGUCUAAGCUCAAACCAGGAGAGAAACCAGUUUUACCCAGAAGGUUUGCCAAGCCUAAAGUGAUCCGGAUACCCCGGCAGUCCUCACGACUUCAAAACCUGGCAAUAAACUCUCGACCAUCGACUCGUCCUGCUCCCCCAAGGCCACCACCUCCCAAGAUUAAUGUGCGUGGUAACACUGCUGGCAAAGUGCAAUCAUCUAACAGUAUUUCAGGAAAAUACCUCAAAAAGACAGAUACCGAUCUUAGUAGGUCCCCAUCUAAUUCUGUGAAUAUUACAAAGAGUGAGAACAGCCUUCAAACAGCUGGUAUCCAUCCAGGUGAUCAUACUCAGCACCUGACCCCAAGGAAGGUUCCACCUGUAGUGCUGCCUCCCAAGGCUAUGAGUCACGUGCGCAGCCCUUCAAUAGACAGGCCAGUAUCAUGCCCAGGAGAAAUGGUGCCAAACAAACCAGCACAAACUGUUCCGAAACCGAGUCCUCGAGAAAAAACACCAGAGAGAGCCCAACUGUCUGGUAGGAGCCCUCAUGAUCAGUCCCUAGUGCCAACCAUUAAUACUCGGCCAGAGGAAACUCCUAGUGCUAUGUCGGACUCCAGAUCUACUGCUAGUCCUACGGAGGAUGGAUAUUCUGUACCCUUCCCAGGCAGUCCUGUGUAUCAGGUGGAAACAGGGCCUUCCCUUUCACCCCCUGUUGUUGAUUCCCCACUUAUCCCAGUUUCACCCCCAGUACAAAGACCCAUGGAUGAUGCACCUAUAUACCAAGUGAUUAAUAAGGAGGCAAAGAAUAAAGCACCUGCUGUCCAGGCAGUGGAGGAAACAGUGGAAGAAGCUUCUUCUGUUCCAACUGUACCUGAGCAAGAUAAGGGUGGAGAGGCACCUGCUCACAUUGUAUCCACAGAUCCAGAGGACAAAGACUCAGAGGACAAAGACUUGGAUGCAGAUAAAGUUAUCAGUCCUCUUUCAUCUACAUCACCAACUGAUAAAUCAGAUCCUGGUACAGAUAAGGUUAUUGACAGUUCUGUUUUAAGUCCAGCCACAUAUGACUCCAAUCCUGGUUCAGAUAAGGUUAUUAUUGCCAGUCCUGUUUUAAGUCCACCCACAAAUAACUUGGAUCAUAAUAAUGACAUGGAUAAGGAUCCAAUCAACAGUCUCCUUGCCAAGAAACCUGCUCCUCAAAAACCGCAGAGAAUUCCCCCUCCGACACUUCCAAAACCCAAAAUAAUCAGCCCACCAACAGCGAUAGAUGUUCCCCCUGAAGGGGUGAGUGGUAGGGUGUCUCAUAUCAUCAAGGAGAUUGAUAAGUUUUCUUCUCACAAAGACAUGUCAGUUCCUCCACCAGUGGCAUCAGAUUCUUGUAGUCCUGAAGUGCAGACAAGACAGCAACAUCCAGAAACCUUAUCUGCGUCCGCUGUUGCCAGUGAUAGUGUGAAUGUGAGUCCUGUGUGUGAUGAAAGUGAUACAGGUCAAAGUGGAAGCAGCCUUGAAGAGGUUGCGGCCAAUCCAGAACCUGACCGUGAGGAACACCAGCAUGCUCAUGAUGGACAGAGUACAAAUAUUCCUGAGAUUGGUGGAGAGAAUUGUGAUACCCCUCUGACAAAUGGUGACAUGAGUGAUGAUUCUGAUGGUGAUUCUAACUCUGGUAAUAUCAUCUUGGGACAAGAUAUUGGUGAGAGUGAUGACCAAGAACUAGACACAAAAACAGGUGCUAAUGGAGAAGUUGAUGAUGUGGACUCAGCUGAGGACAAUCCUCUACAAUCGGUAGAUGCUGCUCCUGAACCAGACCUUGUCAGUGAUUUGUCAGAACCCUACAAUAGCCAGCUGGAGCUCAUACAACCCAUCAGUGGUGAUACAGAGCCUUCUGCUGACCACAUCGAGCCUUCUAAUGGUCUGCCAGAACCUCCACCUGCUCAAACGGAACCUCUGGAUAGUGAUCCGGAACUGUCUGAUGACUGUUCUUCUGAACCAUCAGCACCUUCUAAUGGUCUUCCAGAAGUUCCAAAUGGUCAGUCAGAGGACUCCCCUGAAGAGUCUGUGAAUACCAGCAUGGAUGAUCAGCCUCCAGUGCCAGUGCCAGAAAAACCAACCCCUCCUGUUAAGAAGCCACGUUCACCCAGGAAGGAACGGUCUCCAGUUCCUCCUGCAAGACCACCGCCUCCCAAAUCCCCACCAUCCAAAACCCAGAGGCUGGUGAACCUAGAUGGAGAGGGUGCCAAUAAGAAGAAGACCCUGCGAAGAGCAGUGAAGAGCCAUGUGCCUGAGGGCAAGGGGGAGCUAAGUUUUGAAGAAGGAAGUUUUAUCAAGGAAAUGAGCAAAGCCAUAGGUCGGCCAGGCUGGUGUAUUGGGAUGUUAGCAGAUGGUACAACCGGCCUGUACCCCCAGAGUCAUGUAGAGGAUGCCUCCCAUCGACAGUCCAUCGCGUAGACAGGUCUGAUGAACGGUCCAUCGUGUAGACAGGUCUGCUGAACGGUCCAUCGUGUAGACAUGUCUGCUGAACGGUCCAUCGCGGAACAGGUCUGCUGAACGGUCUAUGGUGUAGACAGGUCUGCUGAACGGUCCAUCGUGUAGACAGGUCUGCUGGACGGUCCAUCGUGUAGACAGGUCUGCUGGACGGUUCAUCGCUUAGACAGGUCUGCUGAACGGUCCAUCGCUUAGACAGGUCUGCUGAACGGUCCAUCGCGUAGACAGGUCUGCUGAACGGUCCAUCGCGUAGACAGGUCUGCUGAACGGUCCAUCGCGUAGACAGGUCUGCUGAACGGUCCAUCGCGUAGACAGGUCUGCUGAACGGUCCAUCGCGUAGACAGGUCUGCUGAACGGUCCAUCGCGUAGACAGGUCUGCUGAACGGUCCAUCGUGUAGACAGGUCUGCUGAACGGUCCAUCGUGUAGACAGGUCUGCUGAACGGUCCAUCGCUUAGACAGGUCUGCUGAACGGUCCAUCGCUUAGACAGGUCUGCUGAACGGUCCAUCGCGUAGACAGGUCUGCUGAACGGUCCAUCGUGUAGACAGGUCUGCUGAACGGUCCAUCGUGUAGACAGGUCUGCUGAACGGUCCAUCGUGUAGACAGGUCUGCUGAACGGUCCAUCGUGUAGACAGGUCUGCUGAACGGUCCAUCGCUUAGACAUGUCUGCUGAACGGUCCAUCGUGUAGACAGGUCUGCUGAACGGUCCAUCGUGUAGACAGGUCUGCUGAACGGUCCAUCGUGUAGACAGGUCUGCUGAACGGUCCAUCGUGUAGACAGGUCUGCUGAACGGUCCAUCGCUUAGACAGGUCUGCUGAACGGUCCAUCGCUUAGACAGGUCUGCUGAACGGUCCAUCGUGUAGACAGGUCUGCUGAACGGUCCAUCGUGUAAACAGGUGUACUAAAUGAUCCAUUGUGCAGACAGGUGUACUAAAUGGUUCAUCUUGUAGACAGGUGUACUUAAUGGUCCAUCAUAUAGACAGGUGUACUUAAUGGUCCAUCAUAUAGACAGGUUUGCUGAACGGUCCAUCGUGUAGAUGUGCGUACUGAAUGGCCCAUUGUGUGAACGUGUACUGAACGGUACAUCGUAUACACGUCUGCUGAUCGGUCCAUCGUAUAGACAGGUCUGCUGAACGGUCCAUCAUGUACAUGUUAGUACUAAAUGGUUCAUCGUGUAGACAGGUGUACUAAAUGGUUCAUCGUGUAGACAGGUGUACUAAAUGGUCCAUCAUAUAGACAGGUCUGCUGAACGGUCCAUCGUGUAGACGUGUGUACUGAAUGGCCCAUUGUGUGAACGUGUACUGAACGGUCCAUGGUAUACACGUCUGCUGUCAAAUCUUUCAGCUUGACUUUCACUGUACAAUUUAUCAUAACAUGGAACCCGAGACUCUACUGGAAGCAAUGUGUGACCUGAUAUAUACUCAUGUCUGUUCUAGAGUGGUAUCGCCGAGACUGAUGUUAGAAUACAUGUAUGUGUAUGACUGGUGCUGUAAAUGGAGGGUGUUAACAUUUAGCAUAUCCAGGUUCCUGGAAGAAAUACCGUAUUCACUAAAAUCAGCACACUGUGCGUUUUGAAAACUGACAAAGGGGGCACGUAAUAAAACCAUCCACAAGGUAAAUAUGUUUUCAGAAAUUGUGCGGUAGCGAGUUCAAAUGUGGAUGAACUAAAAUGUUUUCAAUAAUAAUUCUAAUGCUAUUAUAUGCCCCUUUUACACAACUGUUUUCUAUUACAUACACAAGAUGUCAGUGAAGAUCCGGGGUAGAAUAGGUCUUCAGCAACCCAUGCUAUGCUUGUCGUAAGAGGCGACUAUCAGGAUCGGGCGGUCAGGCUCGCUGACUUGGUUGAUGCAUGUCAUCAAUCCCAAUU
Molecule: unclassified non-coding RNA, 7113 nt
Filed under: Haliotis rufescens (red abalone)
Lineage: Eukaryota; Metazoa; Mollusca; Gastropoda; Lepetellida; Haliotidae
Description: nascent polypeptide-associated complex subunit alpha, muscle-specific form-like, transcript variant X4
Source: RNAcentral